This is a long non-coding RNA of Oreochromis niloticus (Nile tilapia), 2222 nucleotides long. RefSeq lists it as uncharacterized. The record is from RefSeq and is a predicted model, not a curated record. Lineage: Eukaryota; Metazoa; Chordata; Actinopteri; Cichliformes; Cichlidae. The transcript is spliced from 3 exons.
GAUGAUUUCCAGCUGUGUUGGCACUGCUCCCUGAACCCACUGAAUCACCACUCCUCUGCAGCUGACCAACAGACUACACCCUGCUGCACUAAUAUAGCCACAUAUAAAAAAUAUUGGAGAGCUCAAAUGCAAACUUCUGUCGAUUUUAAAGACAUCCCUGCAAGCACUAGCCCACAUAGAGAUGAGGAUAACUACCAAUGGAGAGGUCAUCAAUGCAACCAUCAUCAAACUUCUUGAAGAGUUUUUUAGCAACCAGAUCCUGAAUGGAACAGCCCACAGUCUCUCUGUGACACGCAUUCAACGAUUGAGAGCUGGCCCAUAAAAGCUCAGUAUGGACAGAAGUCAAAAAUGACUGAAUGAAGACAACAAUUCAAGGAUGUGUUUGUUUUAACAUAAUGUGAAGCAGUAGUAUGCCUCAGCUGUUUUAUCAUAUUUUGAAAUAAGACACAAUUGUAGACACCAGCUGAGUCCACAAGCCAUCAGAUUUCAAGACAAGAAUUUCUGCAUAAAUAGAAAUAACAAACAGUUUUGUAAUUACAGACUUUUGCUUGUAUUUUACAUAAAUGUGAAAACUGGAAAUGUGCUUUGAUCUGUCAGAGAUUUGUAAGAGGCGUUUUCAGUUCUCCAGCUCGAGAAGCAGAGGUCACUCUGACAAGCCUGGUAACCAGAAAACUGUAAAGAGUGCUUCUUGCAUCCUCCUCCUUUCUAUAUUAAAAAAUAAGGAAAUUACAGUGAGUGAAGCAUGCCAAGUGAAUGAAUACCGAACCUCAAAUUAAGAAAAUCAAUUGUCUGUAAGGUAUUAUUGUUACUAUAAGUGAUUCUGUUAUACUCAAGGUCACCUUUCCAGUUCAUUGGCAAGAAAGAAUUUGAAAUCAUGUGUAUUUUUACUUUAAAGUAUAACUAAAAUUUGGAGGAAGUAUAAAACACUGUGUGUGCAGAGGAAGUCUCAGAUGCUUCUCUUGCUAUUGAAAUAUCAGGUACAUAUUAAUUAUGAGCCUAGGCAGAAGAUGACUCCACAUCAUGGGGCCACCACUCUACCUACGGAGCUAUCCUUGCCCCCAAACUAAAUACCAAAUUUGUUUCUAAUUAUUUUUGCACUUUGGGUGUAAUGUAUACUGUAUACUGUAAUGUAUAAUGCACUUUUGGGAUUAUAAUGGCAACAUUCACUAAAAAUGUCCUCUUAACACCAGCAAACAUGCCACUUGGGGCCACGGUGGCCAGCCCACCUGGGCCCGACUGUGCAAGCCCCUGUCCAAACCCCUGUCCUGAUUCGUAUUUGAGGUGGAAGACAAACGACUGCAGAGUCCCAGUGAGAUGCGUCAAAACAAUGAUUUUAUUGAAACACAUACACGUGGGAAGUCGAGCACGAUCACCCAAAAAGCAUCGAUCUUCCCAGAACAAUAAAUGGGGUGUGAUAUAUAUAACAUAUGAUGACAAGUAAUAUGCGUCACAGCAGAUAAAAAACAUGCAUGUUCCAGUCAUUCCAACCUUGAACAUCUUCUAAAAUAGAACAGUUCCUUCCUCUGUUCCUCCACUAGAUGUUUCCUGUUAUUUUACCUAUUACACUUAUUUGUGGAACUGAACUGUCACGUAUGCAGGUAAAACAACUUCGCAGUUUCAAGCAAAACAAGUCUAGACACUGUGUAUGUGUGUUCAGGCAGCCCAUGUGUCUUAGCCUCAGUGCAUGACCUUACUCUGAGUCAUCUGUUACCAGGCAGAACUCCACUGCAGCCGGUUGCUGAACACACAGGCCUCUAUUCAGUUUCUAAGUUAUGUGCGAUGUAUUGUAAGCAUGUAUGCAAUUCUGUCAUAGCUCGGGUCACCUUAAGUUAUUCCAUAGAUCGGCCAGACCUCGCGCUGCCCGUAGCUUCAGACCACUAAUUAACUUGACCGAGCUUCAACUCUUUAAUUAGCACAAAAAUGCAAUGUGUAUAACAUGAAUACAGUUGCACCUGCAAUGAAAGAUUAUCAUGUGAUUAUGAAAUGCUUUGAUGAAAUGAUAAUGAUAAAUGAUAAGUGAUGCAACAGUAGUAAUACUGAUUAUGAAUAGUAACAGUAAAAUAAUAUUCAUUUUCCACACCCCACAUGUACAUUAUUGCCACCAAGUGGCUCAAAUAAAAGCUGCUUUCAGCUACUUUCUUUUUCACAUGGAGUCACACCACAGUUGAUGUGGCAGAUUCCUUACAUCAGAUGCCCGUCUUCACACAACCCACAAUAGGUUU